AGCGAACGCUGGCGGCAGGCCUAACACAUGCAAGUCGAACGAACUCUUCGGAGUUAGUGGCGGACGGGUGAGUAACACGUGGGAACGUGCCUUUAGGUUCGGAAUAACUCAGGGAAACUUGUGCUAAUACCGAAUGUGCCCUUCGGGGGAAAGAUUUAUCGCCUUUAGAGCGGCCCGCGUCUGAUUAGCUAGUUGGUUGGGGUAAUGGCCCACCAAGGCGACGAUCAGUAGCUGGUCUGAGAGGAUGACCAGCCACAUUGGGACUGAGACACGGCCCAAACUCCUACGGGAGGCAGCAGUGGGGAAUCUUGCGCAAUGGGCGAAAGCCUGACGCAGCCAUGCCGCGUGUAUGAUGAAGGUCUUAGGAUUGUAAAAUACUUUCACCGGUGAAGAUAAUGACUGUAGCCGGAGAAGAAGCCCCGGCUAACUUCGUGCCAGCAGCCGCGGUAA
This 450-nucleotide ribosomal RNA is filed under the name uncultured bacterium. RNAcentral's name for it is "partial 16S ribosomal RNA". It matches the Rfam family "Bacterial small subunit ribosomal RNA", at positions 29 to 523 of the family's 1533-position model. The record is from RNAcentral.